UGGCAAUGCUGUCCGAUUAUUCUGCAAAUUGUUUUCGAAUUCGUUUCUACGUUUCCAUUUUCCAGAUAUGUUAAAUAUUUCGUUUGCAAUAGAAAUCGUGAAAUGAAAAUAAUUAAACAAUAUGUAAAAGUGAGUAAAGCAAGUUCUGUCCUUGGUAGACUUUGGAAAACAUCAAGUGAAACAAUGGAAAGAUUUUACAGGCAGUCUCAUUUCAAAAGGAUCGGUUUGUAGCAACUGCCAAUUGAUCCAACAACACUCAGAGAAACUCAACUCCUCCAAAGUUGUGCAAAUCUAUAACCUGUUGCAGUGCUAGGCCACGUAAACUCUUUCCGGAGCAUACCGAAAAAGAGAAGGACAAAGAGAGCUCUGGGAGGGAGAGUCCAGGCAGUAGUGUGAAUAAUACAAACAUGUCCGAGGAUGUGUGGCUGGAGUGUGAUGACGAAGUCAUUCGUGUACUGCGUAUGCGGGAACUCGAGGAUCUACUAAGUCGUAAAUCACGAACUUCUGCCCUUACGGCUUACACCA
This is a long non-coding RNA of Daphnia pulex (common water flea), 525 nucleotides long. RefSeq lists it as uncharacterized. The transcript is spliced from 4 exons. The record is from RefSeq and is a predicted model, not a curated record. NCBI's taxonomy places the organism in Eukaryota, Metazoa, Arthropoda, Branchiopoda, Diplostraca, Daphniidae.